AAAGUCGUAACAAGGUUUCCGUAGGUGAACCUGCGGAAGGAUCAUUGGGGGAGUGAAUGGGGAGAGAGAGUUGGAAUGGGAGAGAAUAUUUUAUUACAUUACAAUCAAAUACACAACUGCUGACAAUGGAUCUCUGGGCUCUU
RNAcentral lists this unclassified non-coding RNA (143 nucleotides) under Glomeromycotina sp. Its description in RNAcentral is "partial contains small subunit ribosomal RNA and internal transcribed spacer 1". The stretch from base 1 to 47 matches the Rfam family "Eukaryotic small subunit ribosomal RNA", at positions 1785 to 1831 of the family's 1831-position model. Lineage: Eukaryota; Fungi; Glomeromycota. The record is from RNAcentral.